CAGUACUACGGUUCUUUUAAAAUUUGUCUAGCUGGUUUUAUAAUCUCUAGCAGAAAGCCUUA
This 62-nucleotide small nuclear RNA is filed under the name Sorex araneus (European shrew). RNAcentral describes it as "U7 small nuclear RNA (ENSSARG00000019662.1)". It matches the Rfam family "U7 small nuclear RNA". From Rfam's summary of the family: Animal histone pre-mRNAs are spliced by a different mechanism than nuclear pre-mRNAs and self-splicing introns. This processing involves the U7 snRNP, which contains only one RNA species: U7. The record is from RNAcentral. Lineage: Eukaryota; Metazoa; Chordata; Mammalia; Eulipotyphla; Soricidae.